UUUAAGUGCAGCAGUGGAUUUCUAUAUCCAACGUUUGACCGUCCGUCUUAUUUAAAAUUUUUUAUGAUAAAACAUGAAUAGUAUUUUAUACGUGACUUUUUAUUUAAUGUAUUUAUAAAAAUUUUUAAAUAAGAUGGACGAUCAAACGUUGGACACAAAAAUCCAGAACUGCACUUAAA
Molecule: non-coding RNA, 179 nt
Organism: Oryza glumipatula
Lineage: Eukaryota; Viridiplantae; Streptophyta; Magnoliopsida; Poales; Poaceae
Source: Rfam